GAGUUUGAUCCUGGCUCAGGACGAACGCUGGCGGCAUGCCUAACACAUGCAAGUCGAACGGAGAUACCGGAGCUUGCUCUGGUAUCUUAGUGGCGGACGGGCGAGUAACGCGUGAGUAACCUGCCCUUCAGAGGGGGAUAACGACUGGAAACGGCCGCUAAUACCGCAUAACACAGCGGAGCCGCAUGGUUCUGCUGUCAAAGGAGCAAUCCGCUGAGGGAUGGACUCGCGUCCGAUUAGCUAGUUGGUGGGAAACGGCCCACCAAGGCGACGAUCGGUAGCCGAACUGAGAGGUUGAUCGGCCGCAUUGGGACUGAGACACGGCCCAGACUCCUACGGGAGGCAGCAGUGGGGGAUAUUGCACAAUGGGGGAAACCCUGAUGCAGCAAUGCCGCGUGA
Molecule: ribosomal RNA, 399 nt
Filed under: uncultured bacterium
Lineage: Bacteria
Description: bacterial SSU rRNA
Rfam family: Bacterial small subunit ribosomal RNA
Source: RNAcentral